RNAcentral lists this long non-coding RNA (352 nucleotides) under Nicotiana benthamiana. RNAcentral describes it as "long non-coding RNA (NBEN_LNC031347)". Lineage: Eukaryota; Viridiplantae; Streptophyta; Magnoliopsida; Solanales; Solanaceae. The record is from RNAcentral.
GUACGCAUAUGAGCAGCAGCAGGUCUCCUUCCCUUGUUAAAAUUGAUACUUUGUGGAUACCCAUGGAUCCUGAAGCACUUAUCAAUUAAGUGUCCAGAUUAUUUACAGUAUCGACAGAAUAAAGGUCCUCUGGUUUGAUCAAAAUUGACUCUCUGUCUGAAAGGAGGAGGAGGAACAGACACUGUGGCCUUGUUAAAUCCAACAGGCUGUCUGUUUGUAUGUACAUUGAAAGAGACAGAGUCUGGAUCAAAGUGAGCAGAAGACUGAACUUGUCUUUGUUUCUCAUCAUUGAGGACAAUAAUAUAAACAUUGUCAAGAGAAGGAGGAGGCUGCAUCAUCAAAAGAUUACUCC